UGGGGGAUAGCUCGGGGAAACUCGAAUUAAUACCGCAUACGACCUACGGGUGAAAGGGGGCGCAAGCUCUUGCUAUUAGAUGAGCCUAAAUCAGAUUAGCUAGUUGGUGGGGUAAAGGCCCACCAAGGCGACGAUCUGUAACUGGUCUGAGAGGAUGAUCAGUCACACCGGAACUGAGACACGGUCCGGACUCCUACGGGAGGCAGCAGUGGGGAAUAUUGGACAAUGGGGGCAACCCUGAUCCAGCCAUGCCGCGUGUGUGAAGAAGGCCUUUUGGUUGUAAAGCACUUUAAGCAGGGAGGAGAGGCUAAUGGUUAAUACCCAUUAGAUUAGACGUUACCUGCAGAAUAAGCACCGGCUAACUCUGUGCCAGCAGCCGCGGUAAUACAGAGGGUGCGAGCGUUAAUCGGAAUUACUGGGCGUAAAGCGAGUGUAGGUGGCUCAUUAAGUCACAUGUGAAAUCCCCGGGCUUAACCUGGGAACUGCAUGUGAUACUGGUGGUGCUAGAAUAUGUGAGAGGGA
Molecule: ribosomal RNA, 522 nt
Filed under: Salmonella enterica subsp. enterica serovar Enteritidis
Lineage: Bacteria; Pseudomonadati; Pseudomonadota; Gammaproteobacteria; Enterobacterales; Enterobacteriaceae
Description: bacterial SSU rRNA
Rfam family: Bacterial small subunit ribosomal RNA
Source: RNAcentral